GACCAUGUGUUUAAGAAACUGUAGUAGACAGUGAUGUAAUUUGAGAGUGUUGCACUUGUACAUAAAGGGCCAAGCACAAAUGCUGGGUAAAGGCCACGUGGCCUAAGAGAAAGAACAGGGACUUGCAUUGACAAGAGUAAUAAAAGGGAAUUUGUGAAGCUGAUCCAAUUAGUAAUGCUUAGUGUGGUAGACUUCGACCUUUGUUUAACUACU
RNAcentral lists this unclassified non-coding RNA (213 nucleotides) under Hevea brasiliensis (rubber tree). The record is from RNAcentral. Lineage: Eukaryota; Viridiplantae; Streptophyta; Magnoliopsida; Malpighiales; Euphorbiaceae.